RNAcentral lists this ribosomal RNA (116 nucleotides) under Pteropus alecto (black flying fox). The record is from RNAcentral. Lineage: Eukaryota; Metazoa; Chordata; Mammalia; Chiroptera; Pteropodidae.
GCCUACAGCCAUGCCACCCUGAAUAGGCCUGAUGUCUGAUCCUAGAAGCUAAGCAGUGUCGAGGCUGGUUAGUACCUGGAUGGGAGACCACCUAGGAAGACCAGGUGCUAUAGGCA